UACGGAGGAUCCAAGCGUUAUCCGGAAUCAUUGGGUUUAAAGGGUCCGCAGGCGGCCUGUUAAGUCAGAGGUGAAAGCCAACAGCUCAACUGUUGAACUGCCUUUGAUACUGGUUAUCUUGAAUCAUUGUGAAGUGGUUAGAAUAUGUAGUGUAGCGGUGAAAUGCAUAGAUAUGAUGUAGAACACCGAUUGCGAAGGCAGCUUACUAGACCAACAUUGACGCUCAUGCACGAAAGCGUGGGGAGCAAACAGG
RNAcentral lists this ribosomal RNA (253 nucleotides) under uncultured bacterium. RNAcentral describes it as "partial 16S ribosomal RNA". It matches the Rfam family "Bacterial small subunit ribosomal RNA", at positions 524 to 776 of the family's 1533-position model. The record is from RNAcentral.